AUGGAAACCGGAACGCACCCGCGUUGCUCAGGCCUCAGGGGCGACUAGGGUGGUGAACAAGAGCCUCUGCCACCGCCUCCCUUUCGUCCCCUUGUUCACUCUGCAGCUGCUCAAACCUGCUGGCGGAAGCCUGUGCAGCGCCGAGGACAGUGGCGGACGGCCAUUUUUCCGUGCCGAAAUAGAAGGCACUAGUAGAAUAACGGUGGGAGCGCCGUCAUCCAAAGAGAAGUUGUCGAUCAAAUAUGGAUAAUGGUGGAAGCGCCGGCCCGAAUCAAAACCAGAUUGAUGUUGGGUGCCUCACCUGAAGUACUGAUGCCGAAGCCGCAGUUGGCGAUGGCCGAGGCAAGGUUCGCCUGGUACGGGCUGGCGUUGGUGAAGUUGUCCGUGGUUGAGCACUUGGGCGCAAGAGGCGUGUAUGUAGGGCUGGCUAACAGCUAGUGCUGCAACCGACGAGAAGGUGGUGAGGAGGAGGAGGAUGCGCCGCCACGACGCCAUGCCUAAUUGCAAUGUUAGAUAAGUCCAUACUCCUUGCUCCAUAUGUAUAUAUAGCGCACUUUGCAAGUCGUGUUUAUGCCUAAUUAUUACGACGGCCAGAUGCUCCACUUCAGUAAAAGGCAAUUACCAUCCUAUUUGUGAUUUACGGUCCUCAUCUACCCCUCCUGUUGGUUUUAUUCACGCGUCAGCUCCCUGUUUGCUUACGGGAAAUAUCCUGCUCUGGAAAGCUUGAUACCUCCGAUUGACGGCUUCCUUCUGUCACGACCCAAAGUCAAGAAACAUGAUUAACAAUUUAAACAACAUCAUCAUGAGCAUCAUCCAAGCAUAAUGAAGCAUCAUGUGCAUGUAAUUGGCCAGAGUUAAUCCAUUUUCUUGCUUUGUUUAAGUGAAUGUUGUGAAGCAAGUACAAAUUUUUCUAUGUGGCUGUGCUUCCAAAAAUUUUAUUCAAAUACUAGAUUUCAAAUGGUGAAUUUUAGAUAUUUUUUCUUAAAUUUUUAUGUUUAUCCCAAGCCAUAAAAUUCUUGAAAACUUUGAAAACUGCAGUUUUGUUUAAAUUUUUGUUAGCAAUCCGUAAUAGCUUUUUGAGUUCUUGUUAUUGCACUGUGUUCUUGGCAGCUUGAACUUACUCCAGUAAAAUUUUGGCGAUUUUUGAAGCCAGGGAAGUAUACCUUUUUGAAUUUAGAAAUUGAACCCCCAUUUUUCUUUUUCUUCCACCGCCGGGCCCACCUAUCAUUCGCCUCUUCCCGCAUCUCUCGCGCCUUCAGCCUCCCCCGUUGGCCAGCCGCGCGGCGGCGCCACCCCGUCGGCCACUGGCUGGGCCCACGUGGCCUCGGGUGGGAACCACCCCACGGCCGCCCGCUCGCCUCCCCACCUGCCUUCAAACACUGCCCCCUCCUCUCCCCAAAAACCCUAGCUCCCCAUUCGCCGCUGCCUCCUCCUUCCUCCUCUCUGCCGGCCGCCGCAAUUCGCCGCCGCCGGAGCUUCCCGACGACAGCCUCCGCCGCCGCCGCCGCUCCUCGCCGUGCCGCCACUCGCUGCCCUGCUCCGCCCGUCGGUGCUGCGGGUGAGCUUACCCAUCGUGCCAUGCCCCUCAUGCGCGCGCUGCCCCCACCCCGCUCGCGCUCCUGCCACGCCGCCCCUCGUCGGCCGCCGCGACGUCGCGCCGCGCGCGGGCCGCGUCAUGGGCGCGCACUGGCCACGCCCCACGGCGAGUCAAGGCCAGCGGCCGGCCUUGACUCGGCCCGGGCCUCGCUGACCCCCCUGGGCCCACUUGUCGGCGCCUGGGUGCGCCAGAUCUGGGUGGCCCUAGCCCGUU
Long non-coding RNA from Panicum hallii, 1810 nucleotides. RefSeq lists it as uncharacterized. The transcript is spliced from 4 exons. NCBI's taxonomy places the organism in Eukaryota, Viridiplantae, Streptophyta, Magnoliopsida, Poales, Poaceae. The record is from RefSeq and is a predicted model, not a curated record.